UAGUGAACACACGAGCACCUCGAGCAUGGCGUCUAUGAGCAUGAAGGCGGGAUUGGCGCGCAACCACGAGCUUUUAGAUGUUCUCCUGCAGCGGUGCGCGCAUGACGAGUCGCCGCGGCGACUUGUAUCAGCGCCUAGCUGCACUACAGGACGCACAGAGGCGACAUCUCGAGAAGAUGACGGCCCACGCGCGAGAUGCACAUUCUCCCGUAGCAGAGCGCAUUCAACUUUUACAGUACGAGGAGACUGAAGCUGUGAGGUGCCGCAAAACUGUGAAGCAAGCGUAUGGACCGCAGGAUAUGGCGGGGCUCACGUGUGCAGAGCAGCGCCUUCGCGACACCCUGCGGCAAACGCAACGCAUGAACAUAACAUUACAGGCAGCUAUGGAAGAAACCUCGGCUCAGUGUGAGUGUCUCCAGCAGUGCGUGCGAACAAGGGCAGCACGCAGCAGUUUAGCGGCGACGUUUCUGACGCCUGUCUCCGCUGCGACGGCGACGGGGCACCCGUCCGAGGUUCCUCAGAGCUCUCCCUGCCAAGACGCCUCGCCGUGCCACGAAUGGGUGGAGCUUGCGCGACACAGUGCCUCCUUCUACGCAAAGGCGUUCUCCGACGUGCAUGAGGUAAUGGGGGGGGGGCUACGCGGGGCUGCAGAAAGACAUUCAGAGACAACUGCAAAACCCUGCGGCGUACAGCGACCCCGCUGCUGUAAUCGUCGCCUUGACAGCUUUGGCAAAAGCGAGCGACAAACUCCUGCUUUCCUAUGGUCGGGUGCGUGAAGAGCAGCAUGCGCACCAUCUCGCGUUGCUUCGCACCUUUGAUCUGCUCUUCGGAGAGCCGGCGUAGACUCUUAGACGGGAGCUUACCGCUUUCAU
RNAcentral lists this unclassified non-coding RNA (872 nucleotides) under Leishmania donovani. RNAcentral's name for it is "gene:unknown". The record is from RNAcentral. Lineage: Eukaryota; Euglenozoa; Kinetoplastea; Trypanosomatida; Trypanosomatidae.